RNAcentral lists this small nuclear RNA (153 nucleotides) under Cebus imitator (Panamanian white-faced capuchin). RNAcentral's name for it is "U4 spliceosomal RNA (ENSCCAG00000006010.1)". It matches the Rfam family "U4 spliceosomal RNA". Rfam says of the family: U4 small nuclear RNA (U4 snRNA) is a component of the major U2-dependent spliceosome. The structure of U4 snRNA from yeast and human has been reported. The record is from Rfam by way of RNAcentral. Lineage: Eukaryota; Metazoa; Chordata; Mammalia; Primates; Cebidae.
AGCUUUGUGCAGUGGCAGUAUCAUAGCCAAUAAGGUUUAUCCGAGGCAUGAUGAUUAUUGCUAAUUGAAAACUUUUCCCAGCACCCCUCCAUGACGACUUGAAAUAUAGUUAAUAUAGUUGGCAUUGGCAAUUUUUGACAGUCUCUAUGGAGA